RNAcentral lists this ribosomal RNA (433 nucleotides) under uncultured bacterium. RNAcentral's name for it is "partial 16S ribosomal RNA". It matches the Rfam family "Bacterial small subunit ribosomal RNA", at positions 29 to 507 of the family's 1533-position model. The record is from RNAcentral.
AGCGAACGCUGGCGGCAGGCCUAACACAUGCAAGUCGAACGAACCUUUCGGGGUUAGUGGCGGACGGGUGAGUAACACGUGGGAACGUGCCUUUAGGUUCGGAAUAACUCAGGGAAACUUGUGCUAAUACCGAAUGUGCCCUUCGGGGGAAAGAUUUAUCGCCUUUAGAGCGGCCCGCGUCUGAUUAGGUAGUUGGUGGGGUAAUGGCCUACCAAGCCGACGAUCCAUAGCUGGUUUGAGAGGAUGAUCAGCCACACUGGGACUGAGACACGGCCCAGACUCCUACGGGAGGCAGCAGUGGGGAAUCUUAGACAAUGGGGGCAACCCUGAUCUAGCCAUGCCGCGUGAGUGAUGAAGGCCUUAGGGUUGUAAAGCUCUUUCAGCUGGGAAGAUAAUGACGGUACCAGCAGAAGAAGCCCCGGCUAACUCCGUG